RNAcentral lists this ribosomal RNA (303 nucleotides) under uncultured bacterium. RNAcentral describes it as "partial 16S ribosomal RNA". It matches the Rfam family "Bacterial small subunit ribosomal RNA", at positions 507 to 809 of the family's 1533-position model. The record is from RNAcentral.
AGCAGUCGCCACGGUAAUACGUAGGGUGCGAGCGUUAAUCGGAAUUACUGGGUGUAAAGCGUGCGCAGGCGGUUGUGUAAGACAGGUGUGAAAUCCCCGGGCUUAACCUGAGAACUGCGCUUGUGACUGCACAGCUAGAGUAUGGCAGAGGGGGGUGGAAUUCCACGUGUAGCAGUGAAAUGCGUAGAGAUGUGGAGGAGCACCGAUGGCGAAGGCAGCCCCCUGGGCCAAUACUGACGCUCAUGCACGAAAGCGUGGGGAGCAAACAGGAUUAGAUACCCCUGUAGUCCCUGUCUCUUAUAA